RNAcentral lists this non-coding RNA (29 nucleotides) under Cricetulus griseus (Chinese hamster). The record is from RNAcentral. Lineage: Eukaryota; Metazoa; Chordata; Mammalia; Rodentia; Cricetidae.
CACCCAGGACUAUGAACACUGUAAGCAGG